AGUUUGAUCCUGGCUCAGAUUGAACAUUGGCGGGAUGCUUUACACAUGCAAGUCGAACGGCAGCACGGACUUCGGUCUGGUGGCGAGUGGCGAACGGGUGAGUAAUGUAUCGGAACGUGCCUAGUAUGGGGAUAACUACGCGAAAGCGUAGCUAAUACCGCAUACUGCCCUUCGGGGGAAAGCGGGGAUCUUCGGGCUCGCACUAUUAGAGCGGCCGAUAUCGGAUUAGCUAGUUGCGGGGUAACGGCUCACCAAGGCGAAUGAUCCGUAGCUGGUUUGAGAGGACGACCAGCCACACUGGGACUGAGACACGGCCUGGUGACUCCUACGGAGGCAGCAGUGGGGAAUUUUGGACAAUGGGGGAAACCCUGAUCCAGCCAUCCGGGCGUGUGCGAUGAAGGCCUUCGGGUUGUGAAGACUUUUUGGCAGGAAAGAAACGGCACGGGAUAAUACCCAGGCAACUGACGGUACCUGCAGAAUAAGCACCGGCUAACUACGCCAGCAGCCGCGGUAAUACGUAGGGUAAGCGUUAAUCGGAAUUACCGGGCGAAGCGUGCAGGCGGUUCGAAAGAAAGAUGUAACCCAGAGCUUAACUUUGAACUGCAUUUUUAACUACCGAGCUAGAGUGUCAGAGGGAGGUGGAAUUCCGCGUGUAGCAGUGAAAUGCGUAGAUAUGCGGAGGAACACCGAUGGCGAAGGCAGCCCCUGGGAUAACACUGACGCUCAUGCACGAAAGUUAUGGGGAUGUUUGAUUAGAUACCCUGGUGGUCCACGCCCUAAACGAUGUCAACUAGCUGUUGGGGCCUUCGCCUUGGUAGCGCAGCUAACGCGUGAAGUUGACCGCCUGGGGAAGGGUCGCAAGGACAAAUCAAAGCGAAUUGACGGGGACUGCAUGCUGGUGGAUGAUGUGGAUUAAUUCGAUGCAACGCGAAAACCUUACCUACCCUUGAUAUGUCUGAAUCCCGGAAGAGAUUUGGGAGUGCUCGCAAGAGAACCGGAACACAGGUGCUGUACGGCUGUCGUCAGCUCGUGUCGUGAGAUGUUGGGUUAAGUCCCGCAACGAGCGGGCAACCCUUGUCAUUAGUUGCUACGAAAGCGGCACUCUAAUGAGACUGCCGGUGACAAACCGAGGAAGGUGAUGACGUCAAGUCCUCAUGGCCCUUAUGGGUAGGGGCUUCACACGCUGGGGCGCACAAUGGUCGGGACAGAGGGCUGCCAACCCAUGAGGGGGAGCCAAUCCCAGAAACCCGAUCGCAACUGGAUCGCAGUCUGCAACUCGGAUCAUGUAGUCGGAAUCGCUAUAAUCGCGGAUCAGCAUGUCGCGGUGAAUACGUUCCCGGGUCUUGUACACACUGCCCGUCACACCAUGGGAGUGGGCUUCCAGAAGUGAAGAACAACCGUAAGGAGGGCGAUUACCACGGUAGAUUCAUGAUCAAAGGUGAAGUCGCAACAAGGU
RNAcentral lists this ribosomal RNA (1456 nucleotides) under uncultured Bordetella sp. RNAcentral's name for it is "partial 16S-23S ribosomal RNA intergenic spacer". It matches the Rfam family "Bacterial small subunit ribosomal RNA". The record is from RNAcentral. Lineage: Bacteria; Pseudomonadati; Pseudomonadota; Betaproteobacteria; Burkholderiales; Alcaligenaceae.